UGGGGAAUUUUGGACAAUGGGCGCAAGCCCGAUCCAGCAAUGCCGCGUGCAGGAUGAAGGCCUUCGGGUUGUAAACUGCUUUUGUACGGAAAGAAAAGCUCUCGGUUAAUAGUCGAGGGUCCUGACGGUACCGUAAGAAUAAGCACCGGCUAACUACGUGCCAGCAGCCGCGGUAAUACGUAGGGUGCAAGCGUUAAUCGGAAUUACUGGGCGUAAAGCGUGCGCAGGCGGUGAUGUAAGACAGGUGUGAAAUCCCCGGGCUUAACCUGGGAAUUGCAUUUGUGACUGCAUCGCUGGAGUGCGGCAGAGGGGGAUGGAAUUCCGCGUGUAGCAGUGAAAUGCGUAGAUAUGCGGAGGAACACCGAUGGCGAAGGCAGUCCCCUGGGCCUGUACUGACGCUCAUGCACGAAAGCGUGGGGAGCAAACA
RNAcentral lists this ribosomal RNA (427 nucleotides) under uncultured bacterium. RNAcentral describes it as "bacterial SSU rRNA". It matches the Rfam family "Bacterial small subunit ribosomal RNA", at positions 355 to 774 of the family's 1533-position model. The record is from RNAcentral.